Molecule: ribosomal RNA, 460 nt
Filed under: uncultured bacterium
Lineage: Bacteria
Description: partial 16S ribosomal RNA
Rfam family: Bacterial small subunit ribosomal RNA
Source: RNAcentral
CCUACGGGUGGCAGCAGUGAGGAAUAUUGGUCAAUGGGCGCGAGCCUGAACCAGCCAAGUAGCGUGAAGGAAGACGGCCCUACGGGUUGUAAACUUCUUUUAUAAAGGAAUAAAGUGAGGCACGUGUGCCUUUUUGUAUGUACUUUAUGAAUAAGGAUCGGCUAACUCCGUGCCAGCAGCCGCGGUAAUACGGAGGAUCCGAGCGUUAUCCGGAUUUAGUGGGGUUAAAGGGAGCGGAGAUGGGUUGUUAAGUCAGUUGUGAAAGUUUGCGGCUCAACCGUUAAAUUGCAAUUGAUACUGGCGGUCUUGAGUACAGGUGAGGUAGGCGGAAUUCGUGGUGUAGCGGUGAAAUGCGUAGAUAUCACGAGGAACACCGAUUGCGAAGGCAGCUUACUAAACUGCCACUGACAUUGAUGCUCGAAAGUGUGGGUAUCAAACAGGAUUAGAUACCCCAGUAGUC